RNAcentral lists this ribosomal RNA (482 nucleotides) under uncultured bacterium. RNAcentral describes it as "bacterial SSU rRNA". It matches the Rfam family "Bacterial small subunit ribosomal RNA", at positions 29 to 507 of the family's 1533-position model. The record is from RNAcentral.
AACGAACGCUGGCGGCGCGCCUAACACAUGCAAGUCGAGCGAGAAUCCGGGGCAACCCGGUAGUAAAGUGGCAAACGGGUGAGGAAUACAUGGGUAACCUACCCUUGAGAAGGGAAUAACCCGCCGAAAGGUGAGCUAAUACCCUAUACGCUAUCUUUUUUUCGAAAAGGAUAGGAAAGCCGGGUCGAGGACCUGGUACUCAAGGAGGGGCUCAUGUCCUAUCAGCUUGUUGGUGGGGUAACGGCCUACCAAGGCUACGACGGGUAGCUGGUCUGAGAGGAUGAUCAGCCACACUGGCACUGAGAUACGGGCCAGACUCCUACGGGAGGCAGCAGUGAGGAAUAUUGCGCAAUGGGCGAAAGCCUGACGCAGCGACGCCGCGUGGGGGAUGAAGGUUUUCGGAUUGUAAACCCUUUCAUGAGGAAGAUAAAGUGGGUAACCACUUAGACGGUACCUCAAGAAGAAGCCACGGCUAACUCGUG